Molecule: small RNA, 385 nt
Filed under: Pan troglodytes (chimpanzee)
Lineage: Eukaryota; Metazoa; Chordata; Mammalia; Primates; Hominidae
Description: processed transcript
Source: RNAcentral
GCAUCCACUGGGGUCUUGGAAUGUAUCCCCCAUGGAGAAGAGGGGACUACUGUACUUAAUGCUACUGAACUUAAAAAUGGUUAAAAUGGUCAUGAAGAACACUGAAGAAACGUCAAAGUGAACCAAAUCAUUGUUUUUAUUUUACAAAGGCAGAAAAUGAAACACCACUAGGAUUUUCAUUAAGCCAACUCAUACCCAGUUUCUACAAAUGAAAAUCAAGUCAAUCAUCUAAAAUUUCAUGAUUUCUUCCCAUCAAGAGGAUCUGGAGUCUUCUGUUCCCAUUAAAACUGAAUUUAUGGCAGUGCAAACCUGGGCCAGACUGGGUAUAAAAUGACAAAAGCAUGUUUAUAUUCUUAAAAAUUUCUGCAGAUUGCAUAGAAAGUUC